AGUGAACGCUGGCGGUAGGCCUAACACAUGCAAGUCGAACGGCAGCACAGUAAGAGCUUGCUCUUACGGGUGGCGAGUGGCGGACGGGUGAGGAAUACAUCGGAAUCUACUUUUUCGUGGGGGAUAACGUAGGGAAACUUACGCUAAUACCGCAUACGACCUACGGGUGAAAGCAGGGGAUCUUCGGACCUUGCGCGAUUGAAUGAGCCGAUGUCGGAUUAGCUAGUUGGCGGGGUAAAGGCCCACCAAGGCGACGAUCCGUAGCUGGUCUGAGAGGAUGAUCAGCCACACUGGAACUGAGACACGGUCCAGACUCCUACGGGAGGCAGCAGAGGGGAAUAUUGGGCAAUGGGCGCAAGCCUGAUCCAGCCAUACCGCGUGGGUGAAGAAGGCCUUCGGGUUGUAAAGCCCUUUUGUUGGGAAAGAAAAGCAGCAGGUUAAUACCCCGCUGUUCUGACGGUACCCAAAGAAUAAGCACCGGCUAACUUCGUG
This 492-nucleotide ribosomal RNA is filed under the name uncultured bacterium. Its description in RNAcentral is "partial 16S ribosomal RNA". It matches the Rfam family "Bacterial small subunit ribosomal RNA", at positions 29 to 507 of the family's 1533-position model. The record is from RNAcentral.